GCCCGGGUGGCCGAGCGGUUCUAGGCGCGUCAGUCUAGAAAGCUGCGGUCGCAGGUUCGAAUCCUGCCUCGGGCA
Molecule: transfer RNA, 75 nt
Filed under: Schistocerca americana (American grasshopper)
Lineage: Eukaryota; Metazoa; Arthropoda; Insecta; Orthoptera; Acrididae
Description: tRNA-Ser
Rfam family: tRNA
About the family: Transfer RNA (tRNA) molecules are approximately 80 nucleotides in length. Their secondary structure includes four short double-helical elements and three loops (D, anti-codon, and T loops). Further hydrogen bonds mediate the characteristic L-shaped molecular structure. tRNAs have two regions of fundamental functional importance: the anti-codon, which is responsible for specific mRNA codon recognition, and the 3' end, to which the tRNAs corresponding amino acid is attached (by aminoacyl-tRNA synthetases). tRNAs cope with the degeneracy of the genetic code in two manners: having more than one tRNA (with a specific anti-codon) for a particular amino acid; and 'wobble' base-pairing, i.e. permitting non-standard base-pairing at the 3rd anti-codon position.
Source: RNAcentral